AUACCUUUCUCGGCCUUUUGGCUAAGAUCAAGUGUAGUAUCUGUUCUUAUCAGUUUAAUAUCUGAUAUGUGGGCCAUGUGUCUACUUUGAUAUUAAAUUUAUUUUUCGUGGGGGAGAGUCCACCAUAGUGGCUUGCCACUAGGGCCCUCAUGUGUCGCCUAGGCGUUGCACUACAGCCUUGGCUGGUGCACCCCAUC
RNAcentral lists this small nuclear RNA (197 nucleotides) under Oryza sativa Indica Group (long-grained rice). Its description in RNAcentral is "U2 small nuclear RNA". It matches the Rfam family "U2 spliceosomal RNA". From Rfam's summary of the family: U2 is a small nuclear RNA (snRNA) component of the spliceosome (involved in pre-mRNA splicing). Complementary binding between U2 snRNA (in an area lying towards the 5' end but 3' to hairpin I) and the branchpoint sequence (BPS) of the intron results the bulging out of an unpaired adenosine, on the BPS, which initiates a nucleophilic attack at the intronic 5' splice site, thus starting the first of two transesterification reactions that mediate splicing. The record is from RNAcentral. Lineage: Eukaryota; Viridiplantae; Streptophyta; Magnoliopsida; Poales; Poaceae.